UACGUAGGGGGCUAGCGUUGUCCGGAAUCAUUGGGCGUAAAGAGCGUGUAGGCGGCUUGGUAAGUCCGCUGUGAAAGUCCAGGGCUCAACCCUGGAAAGCCAGUGGAAACUGUCAAGCUAGAGUCCGGAAGAGGCGAGUGGAACUCCUGGUGUAGCGGUGAAAUGCGCAGAUAUCAGGAAGAACACCGAUGGCGAAGGCAGCUCGCUGGGACGGUACUGACGCUGAGACGCGAAAGCGUGGGGAG
RNAcentral lists this ribosomal RNA (245 nucleotides) under uncultured Conexibacter sp. RNAcentral describes it as "partial 16S ribosomal RNA". It matches the Rfam family "Bacterial small subunit ribosomal RNA", at positions 524 to 768 of the family's 1533-position model. The record is from RNAcentral. Lineage: Bacteria; Bacillati; Actinomycetota; Thermoleophilia; Solirubrobacterales; Conexibacteraceae.